Molecule: ribosomal RNA, 303 nt
Filed under: Triticum aestivum (bread wheat)
Lineage: Eukaryota; Viridiplantae; Streptophyta; Magnoliopsida; Poales; Poaceae
Description: partial small subunit ribosomal RNA
Source: RNAcentral
AUGGCCAGAUGCUCCAUUCGUGGGGUAGAGGAUGAGAAUGAGUAUCAUGCGGUAAUUGCUUGUACCAAAGCAAGAACACUUAGGUCUGAAAUUCGCAAAGUCUGGCACCUCCCGUCAGAGAACAGUUUCCGCUACACAGGAAAUGAUUGGCUCCUUGUUUUGUUAGACGCAUGCGAUGAGAUUACGAGGGCCUGGUUCCUCUUGCUGAUCUGGCGAGCUUGGCACCUUCGGAAUAAUUGUGUACAUCAGGGAGGAAAAGCAUCAAUUUCGGUCUCGGUGGAUCGCCUAGUUAAGUAUGAAUAA